UUGAAAGGGAAACGAUUGAAGUCAGUCGUACCUAUGGGUAAUCAGCCUUUUGGGUGUGAUUUUGUGGAGCGUGAGGAGUUAAACGCCUUCAUGCCUGCAUAUUCGUGCACGUUGGGUGUACUUGCCCGUAUGGUUGGUUAACAUCAAUUUUGGUGGUCAUAAAAUGACUGGAGGAAUGUAGCUUCGAUCUCGUAUUGAAGUGUUAUAGCCUUCGGUAGAUGUGAUGAUCGAGAUUGAGGAUUGCAACGGAUACCCUUCGGGGCUACCUGUCUGAUCUCUGAUCGUUGCUCUGGUGCCGAAAGCUUGCUUACGGUUAUCAAAGUCGAUGGUCAAUAGGUUAGAACGGGUUAAGUUCGUUAAGGAUGUUGACGUA
This 373-nucleotide ribosomal RNA is filed under the name uncultured Glomeromycotina. RNAcentral describes it as "LSU rRNA". The record is from RNAcentral. Lineage: Eukaryota; Fungi; Glomeromycota.